GUUCCCCGACUAGGUCUCUGCCGCGAGCCCGGCAGGUCCCUCCGACCUAGGUGCUCGCUGCAGCCCGCUGUCCCCGUCAGGCCUAAGGCAGGGUCUCUUUCUCCCUCCUCUGCAUCCCUUUAGCCCCCGCUGCCUUGGGCACGUGGGAAAGAAACGUGCAGACGCGGAUGUCCCCGCGUUGUCCCGCCGUCACUUAUUAGAUGGCCGCCGAGCCCCUGGUUGUCCGGAUCGGAACCUUCCCUGAUGCUCUUCUUCUCCCCUCCCCGCCCAGCCCCAGUUUAGUGAGAGCAUCGCAGAGAGCGGAAAGUGGCCCGUUCUCUUUACGUGGACGAGGGGCGCUUUUGGGGAAGGGCAUGGAAGCGAGGAGCGGACGGAUUUUCUGAUCUCUUUGAGAUAUGGGCACCGGCCUUUGCCCAGCUACAUUCCCAGGUACCUCUUGCUAUCACCGACCUCACUGACCUUGGGCCCUCAACUGGGAUCCUUGCAGAACAGAAAGUUCUAGCCCGCUCGCUGCUCACCCUCAGGUCACAGCAUCCCCGGGACCUCCCCCUGGGCCGAUGGCCAGAUCAUCUCUCUCCCUACUCUCCAUCUGAGUGUUUUUAGGCCGGUCUAAGCUAAACACCCAAGCCCAAGGGACAUUUCUGUUUUCUUCAUUCAUUCGACAAAUAUUCAUUGACCAGCUAGCAUGUGCUGGGCUCUUGUUCUGGACAAACAAGACCCAAGUCUCUACCUUCCUGGAGUUUCUAUUCUAAUCAGAGAGAUCCAGAGGGACAGCAAACAAGCCCCCCACGUAACCUCUACACCUAACCUGGGGCUUGAAUUCACAGCUCCGAGAUCAAGAGUCACAUGCUCUACCGACUAAGCCAGCCAUCCACCCCUGUCUGUAUUAUUUUCGCAACUUUUCAGUAAAUCAAAUUAUUUUAAAAUAAAAAGUUUUAAAUGAUAA
Molecule: long non-coding RNA, 946 nt
Organism: Felis catus (domestic cat)
Lineage: Eukaryota; Metazoa; Chordata; Mammalia; Carnivora; Felidae
Exons: 2
Source: RefSeq, a predicted model, not a curated record